AAUUAUCUAUUUGGACCCUAUGUCUCACAUCCAGAUCAUGCUGAUGCAAGAGGUGGAUUCCCAUGACCUUGGGCAGCUCUGCCCGUUGCUUUGCAAGUGAGUCUCCCAUGAUGUAUUUGAGCUUCUUGUAUUUGGAUGUCUAAGUCCAGCAAGAGAAUCUUUGAGUCACGGCUUUCUCAGGUGGUAGUUAUGGUAGCAAUGUGCUGGGUGUGUGAGCAGUUUCAUUCUCCUGUGCCACUGGAAUAAAAGAAGUCUCAUGAUCCUCAUCUCAUUAUCAAGUGGUGUGCUAUUUUUUUUAAAAAAAAUCCCCCAUGUAUCAUUCAUAGGGUGAAACAGUUCAGCCUUCAAGAAAGUAGGAGGUGUCCAUAAG
Molecule: long non-coding RNA, 370 nt
Filed under: Callithrix jacchus (white-tufted-ear marmoset)
Lineage: Eukaryota; Metazoa; Chordata; Mammalia; Primates; Cebidae
Description: lncRNA (ENSCJAG00000077732.1)
Source: RNAcentral